This 391-nucleotide long non-coding RNA is filed under the name Chinchilla lanigera (long-tailed chinchilla). RNAcentral describes it as "lncRNA (ENSCLAG00000027379.1)". The record is from RNAcentral. Lineage: Eukaryota; Metazoa; Chordata; Mammalia; Rodentia; Chinchillidae.
UGAAGGCUAUAGUAAACUACAAUAACUAUUAUUUGGUCUGCCAACUUUACCAUGCCUUUCUUCUAAAAAUUUAGGCCCAGCCAAUCAUCGGAUCCCAUUUCAUUGGAUAUAGUCAUUGGUUCAGUGUGGGCAUGUGAUCUAAACUGGGCCAAUCAGAAUCUUUCCCUGAGAUUCAUGGAAGAAUAUGAAGGCAGCCAUCUUCCCUACCCCUAAGAAUAGAACCAUUUACAGCUGGGAGAGAAAGAAGUCAAAAGAUGCAGUGAUGACUUCCUCCAGUCCUGAGUGCUACUACUCUUUAUCUUCUCUAUUAAGUGCUGACAUAUACUGGCUUCUCACGGAUCUGUUUCCAACAGCACAAUCCGGGUUUUCCCAGGAUCUGGGAAGGCUAUGA